AGUGAACGCUGGCGGCAGGCCUAAUACAUGCAAGUCGAACGGCAGCACAGUGGAGCUUGCUCCAUGGGUGGCGAGUGGCGGACGGGUGAGGAAUACAUGGGAAUCUGCCCAGUCGUGGGGGAUAACGUAUGGAAACGUACGCUAAUACCGCAUGCGCCCUUCGGGGGAAAGUCGGGGACCGCAAGGCCUGACGCGAUUGGAUGAGCCCAUGUUCGAUUAGCUAGUUGGCGGGUAACGGCCCACCAAGGCGACGAUCGAUAGCUGGUCUGAGAGGAUGAUCAGCCACACUGGAACUGAGACACGGUCCAGACUCCUACGGGAGGCAGCAGUAGGGAAUAUUGGACAAAUAGGGGGCAAACCCUGAUCCAGCCAUGCCGCGUGAGUGAAGAA
This 390-nucleotide ribosomal RNA is filed under the name uncultured bacterium. RNAcentral describes it as "bacterial SSU rRNA". It matches the Rfam family "Bacterial small subunit ribosomal RNA", at positions 29 to 412 of the family's 1533-position model. The record is from RNAcentral.